AUGGCGCUCUACCUGCUCUUCGAGUCGGCGUCGGGGUACGCGCUCUUCCACGCCCACGGCAUCGACGAGAUCGGGCAGAGCGUGGACGCCGUCCGCUCCACCGUGCUGGACCUCAAGCGCUUCAGCAAGGCCGUCAAGCUCGCCGGCUUCACCCCCUUCCUCUCCGCCGUCGACGCCCUCAACCAGUGCAACGCCAUCUCCGAAGGGAUCAUGACCGACGAGCUGAGGACCUUCCUGGAGCUCAACCUGCCCAAGGUCAAGGAGGGGAAGAAGGCCAAGUUCAGGGUCGGCGUCAUGGAGCCCAAGGUCGGGUCCCACAUCACCGAGGCCACCGGAAUCCCCUGCGAGUCCAACGACUAUGUCCAGGAACUGCUCCGUGCCGUGCGGCUGCACUUCGAUCAGUUCAUUGACCAACUCAAGCCAUCUGACCUGGAGAAGGCUCAGUUAGGUCUGGGGCAUAGCUAUAGCAGGGCAAAGGUCAAGUUCAAUGUGAAUCGUGUGGAUAACAUGGUGAUUCAAGCCAUCUUUCUGUUGGAUACACUUGAUAAGGAUGUCAAUUCCUUCUCCAUGAGAGUGAGGGAGUGGUAUGGAUGGCAUUUUCCUGAGCUGGUCAAAAUUGUGAAUGACAACUACCUUUAUGCUAAGCUUGCCAAGUUUGUAGUAAACAAAUCUGAUUUGUCUGAGAAAGACAUUCCAGCUUUAGCAGAUCUGAUUGGAGAUGAGGACAAGGCAAAAGAAAUUGUUGAAGCAGCAAAGGCAUCUAUGGGCCAGGACCUUUCACCAGUUGAUUUGAUCAAUGUCCAACAGUUUGCUCAAAGGGUCAUGAAUCUAUCUGAGUACCGUAAAAAUCUCUACGAAUAUCUGGUGACAAAGAUGAAUGAUAUUGCACCAAAUCUGACGUCAUUGAUUGGUGAAAUGGUUGGAGCUCGGUUAAUCUCUCAUGCUGGCAGUCUUUCAAAUCUUGCAAAAUGUCCUGCCUCCACUCUCCAGAUACUAGGUGCUGAGAAGGCGCUCUUCAGAGCUCUUAAAACGCGUGGAAACACACCGAAGUAUGGCCUCAUAUUCCACUCAUCUUUUAUUGGUCGUGCAUCGACCAAGAACAAGGGAAGAAUGGCUAGAUACCUGGCAAACAAAUGCUCAAUUGCUUCACGCAUUGACUGUUAUUCAGAUAUGAGUAGCUCGAUUUUCGGUGAGAAACUGCGUGAACAAGUGGAGGAGAGAUUAGACUUUUAUGACAAGGGUGUUGCACCACGCAAGAACCUUGAUGUAAUGAAAGCUGCAAUUGAGGAGGGUAUGACCAACGCAGUCUCAGAGGAGGACAAGGAGAAGGAGAACGGUGACACGACUGCCAAGAAAAGUAAGAAAAAGAAGUCCAAAUCUGAGGCUGAUGGUGACGCCAUGGAUCUUGAUAAGCCUGCCAACACGGCCGCAGCAGAGGAAGGGACAGAGAAGAAGAAAAAGAAAAAGAAGCACAAGCUAGAGGAGCCCCAGGAUCAAGAGAUGGCGGCAGCCAAUGUCGACGGCGAGCAAGACGGGACUCCCAAGAAAAAGAAAAAGAAGAACCGUGACGCUGCAGAGUCUGUCGAGCCUAAGACGGCCACAGAAGGGAAGAAGAAGAAAAAGAAGUCGAAAACCGAGGCCGAUGACUAG
RNAcentral lists this ribosomal RNA (1650 nucleotides) under Triticum aestivum (bread wheat). RNAcentral's name for it is "partial small subunit ribosomal RNA". Lineage: Eukaryota; Viridiplantae; Streptophyta; Magnoliopsida; Poales; Poaceae. The record is from RNAcentral.